UACGGGGGGGGCAAGCGUUGUUCGGAAUUACUGGGCGUAAAGGGCUCGUAGGUGGCCAACUAAGUCGGACGUGAAAUCCCUCGGCUUAACCGGGGAACUGCGCCUGAUACUGGUUGGCUUGAGUUUGGGAGAGGGACGCGGAAUUCCAGGUGUAGCGGUGAAAUGCGUAGAUAUCUGGAGGAACACCGGUGGCGAAGGCGGCGUCCUGGACCAAUACUGACACUGAGGAGCGAAAGCCAGGGGAGCAAACGGG
This 253-nucleotide ribosomal RNA is filed under the name uncultured bacterium. Its description in RNAcentral is "partial 16S ribosomal RNA". It matches the Rfam family "Bacterial small subunit ribosomal RNA", at positions 524 to 776 of the family's 1533-position model. The record is from RNAcentral.